This is a long non-coding RNA of Anopheles merus, 1384 nucleotides long. RefSeq lists it as uncharacterized. The record is from RefSeq and is a predicted model, not a curated record. NCBI's taxonomy places the organism in Eukaryota, Metazoa, Arthropoda, Insecta, Diptera, Culicidae. The transcript is spliced from 4 exons.
GGCCGUGACUUCUCAACUCUCACCAGCAGCGUUCUCUUUUUGGUCAUUCGUCUGACUGUCUGUUCGUCUGUUUAAUGACCAAGCGGGAGUGCGUUUGGAGAUAAAAGUGUUCUUAUUGCGAAAGAAAAAAGUGCGAAUUGGAACGCUCCCGUGAAAGUGUGCACUUCGUGUGUGAAUCCCCCCGAACGGCAACACAACACGAUACUCCACUCAGCCCAAAAUGAUGAUGGAUUCGAAGCAUUCAAUCCGGAAAUGAAACAACAUCAAUGCAGUGUCGGGAAGUUAUUCAGAACUUGGUUUCGCCACUAACGUUUCACCGCCAUCCUCUCAUCAUCAUCAUCAUCAUCAUCAUCAUCAUCAUCGGUUUGCUGCUAGUUUGCUUGCACAGAUUUCCCAACUUUUCCCGACGAAGUCAGCGAGCAAGCGAGCGAGCCAACCGAAGUAGAAAGUUGUCCGAGAAUGUUGACCAUCGCUUGCGUUGCGUUUUUGUGGGAAAAUUACGACCGAUAAAACUCCCAUAACUUGAUCAUAUUUCCCGCACACACCCGCUGGGCUGCAGUUUGCUGACCAUUCGUCCUCUUUACCACACUCUCAUACAAUAUUGCCAUCACACGUGCGGAAGAAGUAAGGCGGUUGCAACCAACAACGGUCCUGCUCGCAAAUGCUUUCACGGACGAGUGACCACAAGCAUGGCUCGGUGGGUGGUGGGCUUUGGCCCAAACCAAGAAGCAUACCAGGGAGUCCAAAAGCUGCGGAAACAUAUUAGCAAGAAUCGUUCGCUCCACAAGGAUUCCGUAGAAAAGACAGCUCUGACCAGAACGGCAGCAGCUACAAUAACACCUUGCAGUGUAUUCCCACCGGAACUGACUGGGUCUCGAGAGAUGGAGGAUGCUGUUGCCGAUUGCCACCAAGUCUGCUGCUUUGUUUACCACAUUCCAACACCACACACACAGAGAAGGUGCGCGGGUGUUUUUCGCCCAGCCAAGACGCCCGCAAGCGCUAAAGUUAAUGAUAUUGUUGUGCUUCGCAAUUGAACGAAUUAUAACUUUUAAUGAAUUCAUUCAAUAGCUUCUUGCGCGAGGAUGAGAAGCAAGCCUUAUUGACGUCUAACGAACGGCCAGGUUCUGCACAUGGCGAGGAAUAUUGAGCUUCCAAUGAAAAUUGCUGAAUGAUGGUGCAGGACAUUCGCGGAAAAUAAUGUUGCUCUAAAUGGCGGAAUCAUCUUUGUUUUUCUAAUUAAACGCUCCACAAGGCUUGGUAAUAAGUCUCCUUGGGAAGGUGGUGCAUUUCGUUUUCCUUCGCACGCCUCAGUUCGCACAAUUGCCAUCCUGUUGAGUUUUGAAGAAGUGGACACAGCAAAAUGGAAAGGAAGUCUCAAAACAAA